RNAcentral lists this transfer RNA (34 nucleotides) under uncultured Micromonas. RNAcentral describes it as "partial Selenocysteine transfer RNA". The record is from RNAcentral. Lineage: Eukaryota; Viridiplantae; Chlorophyta; Mamiellophyceae; Mamiellales.
GGGGAACGGGCCGAUCGCGGGUUCGAUUCCCCCU